This 329-nucleotide unclassified non-coding RNA is filed under the name soil metagenome. RNAcentral's name for it is "partial contains 5.8S ribosomal RNA, internal transcribed spacer 2, and large subunit ribosomal RNA". The stretch from base 1 to 120 matches the Rfam family "5.8S ribosomal RNA", at positions 35 to 154 of the family's 154-position model. The record is from RNAcentral.
GAUGAAGAACGUAGCGAAAUGCGAUAAGUAAUGUGAAUUGCAGAAUUCAGUGAAUCAUCGAAUCUUUGAACGCACAUUGCGCCCCUUGGUAUUCCGGGGGGCAUGCCUGUUCGAGCGUCAUUUCACCACUCAAGCCUGGCUUGGUGUUGGGCGACGUCCCCUUUGGGGACGCGCCUCGAAACGCUCGGCGGCGUGGCACCGGCUUUAAGCGUAGCAGAAUCUUUCGCUUUGGAAGUCGGGGCCCCGUCUGCCGGAAGACCUACUCGCAAGGUUGACCUCGGAUCAGGCAGGGAUACCCGCUGAACUUAAGCAUAUCAAUAAGCGGAGGA